RNAcentral lists this ribosomal RNA (497 nucleotides) under uncultured bacterium. RNAcentral's name for it is "partial 16S ribosomal RNA". It matches the Rfam family "Bacterial small subunit ribosomal RNA", at positions 28 to 507 of the family's 1533-position model. The record is from RNAcentral.
GAUGAACGCUGGCGGCGUGCCUAAUACAUGCAAGUCGAGCGAACAGACGAGGAGCUUGCUCCUCUGACGUUAGCGGCGGACGGGUGAGUAACACGUGGAUAACCUACCUAUAAGACUGGGAUAACUUCGGGAAACCGGAGCUAGUACCGGAUAAUAUAUUGAACCGCAUGGUUCAAUAGUGAAAGACGGUUUUGCUGUCACUUAUAGAUGGAUCCGCGCCGCAUUAGCUAGUUGGUAAGGUAACGGCUUACCAAGGCAACGAUGCGUAGCCGACCUGAGAGGGUGAUCGGCCACACUGGAACUGAGACACGGUCCAGACUCCUACGGGAGGCAGCAGUAGGGAAUCUUCCGCAAUGGGCGAAAGCCUGACGGAGCAACGCCGCGUGUGUGAUGAAGGUCUUCGGAUCGUAAAACUCUGUUAUUAGGGAAGAACAAAUGUGUAAGUAACUAUGCACGUCUUGACGGUACCUAAUCAGAAAGCCACGGCUAACUACGUG